AGUUCUUGAGGCAGCUAUUAUCGAAAAUAAUGGAUUUGGCACUUGUGAUGAUUCCUGAGGCUGAAUCUGGACUCAGCAAGAAAGAGUGCCAUGAUUGAUUAGCCAUGUCUGCCAUUAGCUCAAAACUAGGGACAGAUCCUGCCAGAUACUUGCUGACAACAGCUUAGAAGUUUCCCUUGGCCAUACAAACCUUCUUAAAGGACUGACUGUUAGCAGUAAUGGAAAAUUCAGAUGGAUUACUGAUGCCACCCCUGGAGAGGUUCCUGAAUUCUGCUCAACACAAAAUCACCAUGAUUGGUAAACACUUUAAUAAGCUCACUGAAGCUUAAUGACUUCAAUUGUUCUCAUCAUUGCAUAUGUCCCUAACAGCACUCUAAUUUCAUAACUUUUACAAUUGUAGCAAAAAUAAUUAUUUUCAGUUUCAAGAUUGUGAUCCUCUGCUGGGAGCAAAAACUAUGAGCAGAUUAAGCACAAUCUACCUGCCUGCCAAUAUUUUGAAAGACUUAAAACUCUACUCUAUAAAUUAG
This 527-nucleotide long non-coding RNA is filed under the name Mus pahari (shrew mouse). RNAcentral describes it as "lncRNA (MGP_PahariEiJ_G0005950.1)". The record is from RNAcentral. Lineage: Eukaryota; Metazoa; Chordata; Mammalia; Rodentia; Muridae.